RNAcentral lists this ribosomal RNA (609 nucleotides) under uncultured bacterium. RNAcentral's name for it is "bacterial SSU rRNA". It matches the Rfam family "Bacterial small subunit ribosomal RNA", at positions 80 to 684 of the family's 1533-position model. The record is from RNAcentral.
CAAUCCUGGCGGCGAGUGGCGAACGGGUGAGUAAUACAUCGGAACGUGCCCAAUCGUGGGGGAUAACGCAGCCGAAAGCUGUGCUAAUACCGCAUACGAUCUACGGAUGAAAGCAGGGGAUCGCAAGACCUUGCGCGAAUGGAGCGGCCGAUGGCAGAUUAGGUAGUUGGUGAGGUAAAGGCUCACCAAGCCUUCKAUCUGUAGCUGGUCUGAKAGGACGACCAGCCACACUGGGACUGAGACACGGCCCASACUCCUACGGGAGGCAGCAGUGGGGAAUUUUGGACAAUGGGCGAAAGCCUGAUCCAGCCAUGCCGCGUGCAGGAUGAAGGCCUUCGGGUUGUAAACUGCUUUUGUACGGAACGAAACGGUCUUUUCUAAUAAAGAAGGCUAAUGACGGUACCGUAAGAAUAARCACCGGCUAACUACGUGCCAGCASCCGCGGUAAUACRUARGGUGCAAGCGUUAAUCGGAAUUACUGGGCGUAAAGCGUGCGCAGGCGGUUAUGUAAGACAGUUGUGAAAUCCCCGGGCUCAWCCUGGGAACUGCAUCUGUGACUGCAUAGCUAGAGUACGGUAGAGGGGGAUGGAAUUCCGCGUGUAGCAGUGA